UUUCCUCCUGCCCUGUUUCCUUUUAGUAUUUUCUUUGUGAUUGUUUUUGCAAGUUUGUUUUAAAAGUUCACUGCAUGCUUUCUUUUCUUGUAGACCGGGAGACCGUGAUCUCACCCUGACGAUGGAUGCAGAUGAGGACAAAGAGGAGUAAAGAGGAGCCACCUAACAAAGGAAUCCUGACUCCCUGAAUAGCCAUACACACCCAGCAACAACUAUAAAGAGAGGGGGUCCCUGAGCCAGGUGCAUGGGGAAUCGAUACUGACCUGCCUCUUCUCUUCCAGCACCGCUUCUCCAGGGAAAUGGUUUUCCUGCCUGGGAUGGAGAAAAUUUCAUUAAAGGAAACCCAAGAUAGAAAAGGAGGGAAGU
This 366-nucleotide long non-coding RNA is filed under the name Heterocephalus glaber (naked mole-rat). Its description in RNAcentral is "lncRNA (ENSHGLG00100044661.1)". The record is from RNAcentral. Lineage: Eukaryota; Metazoa; Chordata; Mammalia; Rodentia; Bathyergidae.